Long non-coding RNA from Lontra canadensis (Northern American river otter), 687 nucleotides. RefSeq lists it as uncharacterized. Lineage: Eukaryota; Metazoa; Chordata; Mammalia; Carnivora; Mustelidae. The transcript is spliced from 3 exons. The record is from RefSeq and is a predicted model, not a curated record.
GCGAAGCCGCGGGGCGCACCCCCUACUCUUCUGGGCGCCCCUCGGGCCGGCGCCCCUGGAGUCUCCUCAUGUGUUUGACAAUAUACGACCCCUCUCGUCGCCACUUCAGCGUUGGGGCUGAGGCGCAGGGGUGGCGUUACUGGGGUACUUUCUGGACGCGAGAGGGUUAAAGGCAAGGCGACAAUACAAAUAUAAAAGGUGUGAAGACUGCAGUCUUACUGUCCCUCUGUGAGACUUUAGCAUAGCAUGAAUUGUGUGGUAAUGGAAAAUCAAACGCUGUUCAUACCUGCCUGGAGUUGCAUGAAAAUAUCAAAGUUUUGAUGGGAAGGAAAAAAGAAAGGAGGUGCCAGGUGUGUUAUCCCACUUCUUUUUCAUCAUACUAAGUCAGGAGCUGCUGGGUGGCUGGACCACAUUCCAUUUAGUCUCUUCCUUGGAGAGAAUCCUCCCUCACGACAGACACUUAGGAAGAAAAAGCUAGAGUCUAAUGCUGGGAGCGACUUCAGCACGUGUCAGCCGGCUCACCUACGUCUGUCAAGGAGCACAAGUAUGUGUCCUGAGGAGCAGCCUGGGUCCACACAGCUCUCGGCCCAGCACAUUCCAACACAGCCAGUCAGGGAAGAGCCAUAGGGCACAGUAGGGGCGGGGGUACAGAUACUUGGAUUCCCAAGCGUGAAUCACAUUAUUUUU